GACGAACGCUGGCGGCGCGCCUAAUGCAUGCAAGUCGAGCGACGCAUGCCCGGUGGGUAACCACUAGGUAUGACGGAGCGGCGAACGGGUGAGUAACACGUGAGUAACCUGCCCCGAAGACCGGGAUAGCCCGGGGAAACCCGGAUUAAUACCGGAUACCCUCUCUGGAUCGCAUGGUCCGGUGAGGAAAUGCCUUUGUGCUUCGGGAUGGACUCGCGGCCUAUCAGCUUGUUGGUGAGGUAACGGCUCACCAAGGCUACGACGGGUAGCUGGUCUGAGAGGACGAUCAGCCACACUGGGACUGAGACACGGCCCAGACUCCUACGGGAGGCAGCAGCAGGGAAUCUUGUCCAAUGGGCGCAAGCCUGAGACAGCGACGCCGCGUGAGGGAUGAAGGCCUUCGGGUUGUAAACCUCUUUCAGGAGGGACGAAAUUGACGAUACCUCCAGAAGAAGCCCCGGCCAACUACGUG
This 472-nucleotide ribosomal RNA is filed under the name uncultured bacterium. RNAcentral describes it as "bacterial SSU rRNA". It matches the Rfam family "Bacterial small subunit ribosomal RNA", at positions 28 to 507 of the family's 1533-position model. The record is from RNAcentral.